AGCGCGGUAGAGCAGUUUGGUAGCUCAGGAGUCUCAUAAACUUCAGGUCACGGGUUCAAAUCCCGUUCGCGCCAC
RNAcentral lists this transfer RNA (75 nucleotides) under Gordonia phage GMA2. RNAcentral's name for it is "tRNA-Met". It matches the Rfam family "tRNA". From Rfam's summary of the family: Transfer RNA (tRNA) molecules are approximately 80 nucleotides in length. Their secondary structure includes four short double-helical elements and three loops (D, anti-codon, and T loops). Lineage: Duplodnaviria; Heunggongvirae; Uroviricota; Caudoviricetes. The record is from RNAcentral.